GAUGAACGCUGACAGAAUGCUUAACACAUGCAAGUCAACUUGAAUUUGGGUUUUUAACUUAGGUUUGGGUGGCGGACGGGUGAGUAACGCGUAAAGAACUUGCCUCACAGCUAGGGACAACAUUUGGAAACGAAUGCUAAUACCUAAUAUUAUGAUAAUAGGGCAUCCUAUAAUUAUGAAAGCUAUAAGCGCUGUGAGAGAGCUGUGCGUCCCAUUAGCUAGUUGGAGAGGUAACGGCUCACCAAGGCGAUGAUGGGUAGCCGGCCUGAGAGGGUGAUCGGCCACAAGGGGACUGAGACACGGCCCUUACUCCUACGGGAGGCAGCAGUGGGGAAUAUUGGACAAUGGACCAAGAGUCUGAUCCAGCAAUUCUGUGUGCACGAUGAAGUUUUUCGGAAUGUAAAGUGCUUUCAGUUGGGAAGAAAGAAAUGACGGUACCAACAGAAGAAGUGACGGCUAAAUACGUGCCAGCAGCCGCGGUAAUACGUAUGUCACGAGCGUUAUCCGGAUUUAUUGGGCGUAAAGCGCGUCUAGGUGGUUAUGUAAGUCUGAUGUGAAAAUGCAGGGCUCAACUCUGUAUUGCGUUGGAAACUGUAUAACUAGAGUACUGGAGAGGUAAGCGGAACUACAAGUGUAGAGGUGAAAUUCGUAGAUAUUUGUAGGAAUGCCGAUGGGGAAGCCAGCUUACUGGACAGAUACUGACGCUGAAGCGCGAAAGCGUGGGUAGCAAGCAGG
RNAcentral lists this ribosomal RNA (735 nucleotides) under uncultured Fusobacterium sp. RNAcentral describes it as "bacterial SSU rRNA". It matches the Rfam family "Bacterial small subunit ribosomal RNA", at positions 28 to 776 of the family's 1533-position model. Lineage: Bacteria; Fusobacteriati; Fusobacteriota; Fusobacteriia; Fusobacteriales; Fusobacteriaceae. The record is from RNAcentral.